GCCAGAAUGGUGGAACAGGUAGACACAAGGGACUUAAAAUCCCUCGGCUGAAUAAGCUGUACGGGUUCAAGUCCCGUUUCUGGUA
RNAcentral lists this transfer RNA (85 nucleotides) under Spirochaetales bacterium. RNAcentral describes it as "tRNA-Leu". It matches the Rfam family "tRNA". Rfam says of the family: Transfer RNA (tRNA) molecules are approximately 80 nucleotides in length. Their secondary structure includes four short double-helical elements and three loops (D, anti-codon, and T loops). RNAcentral also lists the same sequence under 1 other name. The record is from RNAcentral. Lineage: Bacteria; Pseudomonadati; Spirochaetota; Spirochaetia; Spirochaetales.